Molecule: ribosomal RNA, 149 nt
Filed under: Clostridioides difficile
Lineage: Bacteria; Bacillati; Bacillota; Clostridia; Peptostreptococcales; Peptostreptococcaceae
Description: partial 16S ribosomal RNA
Rfam family: Bacterial small subunit ribosomal RNA
Source: RNAcentral
CCGUCACACCACGGGAGUUGGAGACGCCCGAAGCCGAUUAUCUAACCUUUUGGAAGAAGUCGUCGAAGGGGGAAUCAAUAACUGGGGUGAAGUCGUAACAAGGUAGCCGUAUCGGAAGGUGCGGCUGGAUCACCUCCUUUCUAAGGAGA